This 482-nucleotide ribosomal RNA is filed under the name uncultured bacterium. RNAcentral's name for it is "partial 16S ribosomal RNA". It matches the Rfam family "Bacterial small subunit ribosomal RNA", at positions 30 to 506 of the family's 1533-position model. The record is from RNAcentral.
AUUGAACGCUGGCGGCAGGCCUAACACAUGCAAGUCGAGCGGAUGAAGGGAGCUUGCUCCUGGAUUCAGCGGCGGACGGGUGAGUAAUGCCUAGGAAUCUGCCUGGUAGUGGGGGAUAACGUCCGGAAACGGGCGCUAAUACCGCAUACGUCCUGAGGGAGAAAGUGGGGGAUCUUCGGACCUCACGCUAUCAGAUGAGCCUAGGUCGGAUUAGCUAGUUGGUGGGGUAAAGGCCUACCAAGGCGACGAUCCGUAACUGGUCUGAGAGGAUGAUCAGUCACACUGGACAUGAGACACGGUCCAGACUCCUACGGGAGGCAGCAGUGGGGAUAUUGGACAAUGGGCGAAAGCCUGAUCCAGCCAUGCCGCGUGUGUGAAGAAGGUCUUCGGAUUGUAAAGCACUUUAAGUUGGGAGGAAGGGCAGUAAGUUAAUACCUUGCUGUUUUGACGUUACCAACAGAAUAAGCACCGGCUAACUUCGU